AAGAACUGGGACCAAUAUGUUAAACUCAAAACAAACAAAACAAAUUCAUUUUUAAACGUGUUAUCAUCACUUUAAAAGUAAUCCAAUAUUGAUGGGAAGCAUAGUAUAUUUUAGACAGUUUACAAGAAAAAAAAAACUUAAAAUGUAUUUUUUCUGAAAAUCAUGUGCGAUUUACUGUUUUUUAUCUACAUGACAUACAAGCAUGUAGAUGUUUUAGUGUUUCUGAGGUUCCUUGAAUGCAUCCUCGCCCUGACUACCAAUGGGACUCACCUGUGGCCUGAAACUGAGUUUCAGGAAACUGGGUUUCCCUCUUUUUUCCAUGGUUUAUGUCAGCUACAGGAAAAAUAUGGAGUUUCUACAGGUUCUGGUGGAUUCCAUCUUCAUCCUUUCCUCCACAUUCACCCUCCUUAUCAUCUUCAAGUCCAGCUUCAGGCUUAAACACAUGCAGAACAAGUGUUUAGAGGUUGAGCAGGGCGUACAUCCGUGCAAGUGUCCCCCGCCUCUGCAGGUAUUUGUCCCAACAGCAGCUGCCAGUGGAACCGAACCGCAGACCUUAAGGAGAAUCAAAAAGCUGCACAGCUCCUGCUUUAAGGCUCCUCUCUGCUGCAGAUCAAACGCGUACAAAGAGGUCACGGGGUUUGAAGGAGCUUCUUAACCUUAAAGGAGCUCACUAGGUGUGUGACCCCUCCCCACUAGACUGACACAUUUAAAGCGGAGAAAGUUCUGACUAACUGGACCUGCUUCAGACGCUUUGGUAGCCACAAAAAACAUACACUGAACAAAAAUAUAAACGCAACACUUUUGUUAUUGCUCCCAUUUUUUAUGGUAUGAACUCAAAGAUGUGAAACAUUUUCCACAUACACAAAAUAACCAGUUCUCUGAAAUAUUGUUCACAAAUCUGUCUAAAUCUGUGAUAGUGAGCACUUCUCCUUUGCCAAGACAAUCCAUCCCACCUCACAGGUGUGCCAUAUCAAGAUGCUGAUUAGACAGCAUGAUUAUUGCACAGGUGUGCCUAAAGGCCUGUUCACACCGGGACGAAUUUCGCCCGCGAUUUUCGCCGACGUUUAACGCCUCGUGACUAAACAAAGGGCACCAAUGUGAGUGUGCACACCGACGCGAAAAAACGCCACGCGUCAAAGCGUCACUUUUUAAAAAACGCCUCGGGUUUGUUUUUUUGGUUUUACGCACCGCGUCGAAAUCUAUUCGACUAAUGAGAAUGGCGCUUUUGCACACGUGUCUGGAGCUUCUGAAGUUACAGUAAAACACUACUUGGGGGCGCUCAAACACAAAACUGCCUUGCUGAGCACACAUACAAGCGCAGAAGAUAGACGCCAAGUAGCGUCUACACUGCCGCGAAGAAAUAAUGACGGACAUUCUAAAAUAGUUAGAGCAGUUAGUUGGAGCAACUGGUCCUUGAAAUAUUCAUGUUUUCUUUGUAUGAUUCUGACAAGCGCGUAGAUACUUGCUCUCUUCUUCUGAAUGAAAAGCGACUUUAAGAAGCGUAAAGUUGCGCAGCGCCACCUUGUGUACAGGAGUAUUUCUGUUUUAAAUUAAGCGCCAUCUAAUGUCAGGGAAUGAAAUUGCAUGUUCGCUCGGCUCAUCGUCAGCGAAAAUCGCCUGGGUGCGAACACAAAAAACGUGGCGAAUAACGCCUGGCGAAUAUUCGUACCUUUAGACUGGGCACAAGAAGAGGCCACUCUGAAAUCUUCAGUUUUGUUUUAUUGAGGGGGUCAGGGGACCCAGACAACGAGUCAGUAUCUGGUGUGACUACCAUUUGCCUCAUGAAG
This 1787-nucleotide long non-coding RNA is filed under the name Oryzias sinensis (Chinese medaka). RNAcentral describes it as "lncRNA (ENSOSIG00000023853.1)". The record is from RNAcentral. Lineage: Eukaryota; Metazoa; Chordata; Actinopteri; Beloniformes; Adrianichthyidae.